GAUGAACGCUGGCGGCGUGCCUAAUACAUGCAAGUCGAGCGAACAGACGAGGAGUUUGCUCCUUUGACGUUAGCGGCGGACGGGUGAGUAACACGUGGGUGACCUACCUAUAAGACUGGGAUAACUUCGGGAAACCGGAGCUAAUACCGGAUAAUAUUUCGAACCGCAUGGUUCGAUAGUGAAAGAUGGCUUUGCUAUCACUUAUAGAUGGACCUGCGCCGUAUUAGCUAGUUGGUAAGGUAACGGCUUACCAAGGCAACGAUACGUAGCCGACCUGAGAGGGUGAUCGGCCACACUGGAACUGAGACACGGUCCAGACUCCUACGGGAGGCAGCAGUAGGGAAUCUUCCGCAAUGGGCGAAAGCCUGACGGAGCAACGCCGCGUGAGUGAUGAAGGUCUUCGGAUCGUAAAACUCUGUUAUUAGGGAAGAACAAACGUGUAAGUAACUGUGCACGUCUUGACGGUACCUAAUCAGAAAGCCACGGCUAACUACGUGCCAGCCGCCGCCGUAA
This 513-nucleotide ribosomal RNA is filed under the name uncultured bacterium. RNAcentral describes it as "partial 16S ribosomal RNA". It matches the Rfam family "Bacterial small subunit ribosomal RNA", at positions 28 to 523 of the family's 1533-position model. The record is from RNAcentral.